AGAGUGAACGCUGGCGGUAGGCCUAACACAUGCAAGUCGAACGGCAGCACAGGAGAGCUUGCUCUCUGGGUGGCGAGUGGCGGACGGGUGAGGAAUACAUCGGAAUCUACCUUUUCGUGGGGGAUAACGUAGGGAAACUUACGCUAAUACCGCAUAAGACCUUCGGGUGAAAGCCGGGGACCUUCGGGCCUGGCGCGGAUAGAUGAGCCGAUGUCGGAUUAGCUUGUUGGCGGGGUAAAAGCCCACCAAGGCGACGAUCCGUAGCUGGUCUGAGAGGAUGAUCAGCCACACUGGAACUGAGACACGGUCCAGACCUCCGUACGGGAGGCAGCGAGUGGGGAAUA
This 344-nucleotide ribosomal RNA is filed under the name uncultured soil bacterium. RNAcentral's name for it is "bacterial SSU rRNA". It matches the Rfam family "Bacterial small subunit ribosomal RNA", at positions 26 to 363 of the family's 1533-position model. The record is from RNAcentral.